UACGGAGGAUGCGAGCGUUAUCCGGAUUUAUUGGGUUUAAAGGGUGCGUAGGCGGAUUAAUAAGUCAGUGGUGAAAACCUUCAGCUUAACUGGAGACUUGCCAUUGAUACUGUUAGUCUUGAGUACGGUCAAGGUAGGCGGAAUGUGUAAUGUAGCGGUGAAAUGCUUAGAUAUUACACAGAACACCGAUUGCGAAGGCAGCUUACUGGGCCAUUACUGACGCUGAUGCACGAAAGCGUGGGGAGCGAACAGGAUUAGAAACCCUAGUAGUCC
Molecule: ribosomal RNA, 273 nt
Filed under: uncultured prokaryote
Description: partial 16S ribosomal RNA
Rfam family: Bacterial small subunit ribosomal RNA
Source: RNAcentral